CAGCUGCUUUCUAGUGCUGAGCUUUUUCAGAGGUACAUGGGCUGAUUUUGGUCUCUGUACAAUGGCUUCCUAUUUCAGUAAGAUUUGCCAGGGUUUAUGCUCCAAUGACACAGUCUUCAAGAACCAAGUCAACCUUUCAGCCAUGAUGGGGCAUCCAAAUGGGACUUCAGUGAAGGGCAUGGGACCGGAACUUUUGUCUCUUCGGAACAACUGCUGCAGUUCUGAGCCCUGCUAGGAUUCCCCUGGGCAUGUAGCCUAAGGAAAACCCCUUCCAUUUGAAUGAGAUGAGGUGAGAUCUCUCAAGACAGUUGUGAAAAUUGAGUAAGGCUUCAUCUACUUCAGAGUUGGAGUAGGCCUGAAGGUCCUUGAGCAUUGAUUCAAGAGCAUCCCUUUCUGCUAUCCUCCCAUGACAGCAUUUUCUCCCUACUUCAGUCAAAUAUGGGCAACUAUGUGCUUAUUGGCCAAGUUCAAUUUCUUGGGCAGUUCCCUCAUUUAGAAUGUAAGACUCUCAGCCAAUGAGAAUGAUGGUCAGUGGUGGGAGGGGUAUUUGCAUUGGGACUAUUUAAAGUGUAAAAUCUGUCCUAAAAGGUGCUUCUUCCCUUCGAUUGCUUGUUCCAUGGGAGGGAUGCCCAUUUCUGGAGAGAACAUACAAUAAACUUUUGCUUUGCUUCUA
Molecule: long non-coding RNA, 673 nt
Organism: Antechinus flavipes (yellow-footed antechinus)
Lineage: Eukaryota; Metazoa; Chordata; Mammalia; Dasyuromorphia; Dasyuridae
Exons: 3
Source: RefSeq, a predicted model, not a curated record